This 199-nucleotide long non-coding RNA is filed under the name Lathyrus oleraceus (garden pea). RNAcentral describes it as "Pisum sativum (pea) long non-coding RNA (PSAT_LNC038702)". Lineage: Eukaryota; Viridiplantae; Streptophyta; Magnoliopsida; Fabales; Fabaceae. The record is from RNAcentral.
CACAAUUUAGUCAAAUUUCAUGGGUUUAAUAACAAUAUUUUAAUCAUUCACACUAUUGAAUCAAAUGUCAUGGAUUUAACAACAAUAUUUUCAUCAUUCACACAAUUUAAUCAAAUUUUAUGGUUUUAAUAACAACAUUUUCAUCAUUCCCACAAUUCAAUCAAAUUUCAUGGGUUUAACAAUAAUAUUUCAAUUAUUC